This 453-nucleotide ribosomal RNA is filed under the name uncultured bacterium. RNAcentral's name for it is "bacterial SSU rRNA". It matches the Rfam family "Bacterial small subunit ribosomal RNA", at positions 19 to 518 of the family's 1533-position model. The record is from RNAcentral.
CUGGCUCAGAGCGAACGCUGGCGGCAGGCUUAACACAUGCAAGUCGAGCGGGCCCUUCGGGGUCAGCGGCGGACGGGUGAGUAACGCGUGGGAACGUGCCUUCUGGUUCGGAAUAACUCAGGGAAACUUGAGCUAAUACCGGAUACGCCCUUUUGGGGAAAGGUUUACUGCCGGAAGAUCGGCCCGCGUCUGAUUAGCUAGUUGGUGGGGUAACGGCCUACCAAGGCGACGAUCAGUAGCUGGUCUGAGAGGAUGAUCAGCCACACUGGGACUGAGACACGGCCCAGACUCCUACGGGAGGCAGCAGUGGGGAAUAUUGGACAAUGGGCGCAAGCCUGAUCCAGCCAUGCCGCGUGAGUGAUGAAGGCCUUAGGGUUGUAAAGCUCUUUUAUCCGGGACGAUAAUGACGGUACCGGAGGAAUAAGCCCCGGCUAACUUCGUGCCAGCCGCCGC